AUCGUCUUCGAGUUAAUAUAUAAUCGUGGAACAGUGAGGUUGAAAUAGUUAAAAGUUUUGUUGGCAGAUUUAACGGUGAAAUGUGUAAAUAAUCUAGGCUAGGUAUAACGGUUUUAAUUGUAUUUUUUUUACUUUUAGCUGUUGUUUGGUCGUGCUAUGUGUUGUGAAACUUUAAAAAUUUAGGCUGAGAAAGCUGUACAUUAAAAACAAGGAUUAGAGACCCUUUUAUUUAGGCUGAAACUAGGUUUUCCAUGGGUAUGAUGAACGUUAUAAUAAGUUUAGUAGCUUAUGAGAGUUGGCGGCAUUUUGCAACCUUUUAGGGGAACUUGGCGUUUAAAUCGAUGAUCCUCGAAAAUCUUACCUCUAAUUUUCCUUUCAUACCGCCGUUGUCAGCGAGUUUUGAAAAAUUGAUUCGCAUAUACAAAGUCUAAAUUAAUUUAGUGAGAUGUUUUUGUUUGUGAGAAUUCAGGUAGACGUGUAGGUGUUUUAGAGGGAUUAGCUGAGUUACAAUUAUCAAAUAAUAGCGGAUGAAUAAGUUUUUCUACUAGUGUGUAGCUAACUAAGUUGGGUUGAGUGUUUUUUAUACUAGGGCUUCUGAAAAGUAUCUCNGAAGAUGGACUUUAUAG
RNAcentral lists this ribosomal RNA (626 nucleotides) under Meretrix lamarckii (Korean hard clam). RNAcentral describes it as "partial small subunit ribosomal RNA". Lineage: Eukaryota; Metazoa; Mollusca; Bivalvia; Venerida; Veneridae. The record is from RNAcentral.